Molecule: ribosomal RNA, 481 nt
Filed under: uncultured bacterium
Lineage: Bacteria
Description: partial 16S ribosomal RNA
Rfam family: Bacterial small subunit ribosomal RNA
Source: RNAcentral
UUGAACGCUGGCGGCAUGCCUUACACAUGCAAGUCGAACGGUAACGGGCCUUCGGGUGCCGCCGAGUGGCGAACGGGUGAGUAAUACAUCGGAACGUGCCCGAUCGUGGGGGAUAACGAGGCGAAAGCUUUGCUAAUACCGCAUACGAUCUACGGAUGAAAGCAGGGGACCGCAAGGCCUUGCGCGGACGGAGCGGCCGGUGGCAGAUUAGGUAGUUGGUGGGAUAAAAGCUUACCAAGCCGACGAUCUGUAGCUGGUCUGAGAGGAUGAUCAGCCACACUGGGACUGAGACACGGCCCAGACUCCUACGGGAGGCAGCAGUGGGGAAUUUUGGACAAUGGGCGCAAGCCUGAUCCAGCCAUGCCGCGUGCAGGAUGAAGGCCUUCGGGUUGUAAACUGCUUUUGUACGGAACGAAAAGCCUUCUUUUAAUACAGGAGGGUCAUGACGGUACCGUAAGAAUAAGCACCGGCUAACUACGUG